UUGUCUCUGCCAUUAAUCGUCACUGUUUUAUUGGCCCUGGGCCCUGGUCCCUGACGUGAAUUGUUUAAUUUGUUGUAUAUUUUUUUUAAAUAUAAUCCAUUGGCAUCUUAUAUAAAUAUAGUCUAAAUGGCGCGAUUCAAUUCGUAAUUAUAUAAUAGUAUAAUUAUUACAUCGAAGUAUUUAUUAAUUUUUGAUAAUGAGCAACUUAAAUGAACAAAAUGGCUGCCGGCUACCGCCUUUGAUAGGAAACGAAGCUAAUAACGAUAAUAUACCACUACCCACUUCGAAUCAAAAAAUGGAAAUUUGCCGCAAUUUCGCUUGGGGCAGCUGCAAUAAAAACACGCAAUGUAAAUUUCGUCAUGAACUAGACUUUGAAGAAAUGAAAAAUAUCCUGAAAUUUUGUCACGAUUACCAGAACGCAUCCGGUUGUUUUAGAAAACAUUGCACGUAUCUGCAUACGACCAAGGAAGAGGAGAGUUUAUUUUUUGCCACGGGGCUGCUUCCUCCUGUUCUUGCAAAAAGGCAUGCUAAGAUGACAAAAAAAAAUACUUAUUGACAUUUGGGUGACUACGACGAUUUUAUUAAGCAAUAAAAACGAACAAAAUACCCACCAGCAAUGUCUUCUAGGACAGCCAUCGCCUUCGCUAGACAACGAAGUUAACAUGAAAUAUAAAAGACUUUGCAUAAUAAAAUGGACAUAUGCCGUAAUUUUGUUUGGGGCAGCCGCAAUAAAAACACGCAAUGCAAAUUUCGUCAUGAACUUGACUCCGAAAACAUGAAGAAAAUCUUAAAAUUUUGUCACGACUAUCAAAAUCCACCCGGUUGUACUAGAAUGUAAAACAGAUCUAUAUAAAACGAGAAAUUAUAUAUUAACUUCAACGUAAUAUUAAAAAAUAAUAAAUAUUUUCAACACCUAGUAUGCAACUACCACAGUAUGCAGAAAACAUUGCCCUUUGGAUCUAAAGUUUGAUGCAAAAGAUUUUAAUGAAAAAACUAAAUCCUCCAAUUAUCACCAUCUUAACACUGUGCACACGAGGGUCGUAUUCGUUUCGGUCAACUUCUUACAUUUUUGAUAAACUGUUAAUUCUGUAGUCAAUGAUACAAUUUUCAGCGAAUUAUUUUAUAGAAUAACCUUGUACCGACCUCGUGCGGGUAGUAUAUUCUAUACAUUUUUUUUACAAAACACAAUAUUUGUUCUUUAUACUUUGUUUAAUAACUAGAGCUCUCUAGUUUAUGAUAUUUCCAAAUAUCGGUAUAACAAAUAUAAUAACUAUGAUUGCUUUAAUAUAUCUAUUUACUAUUUUAUAAAAUUUAAUUGAUUAGUGUCUAUCAAAAUAAUAUUUGAAUGGCGAAUAAAUAAAAAAAAAUCGAUAAACGAUAGACAAUAUAGAGGUUUAAUACUCAUCAGUUGGAUCUUGAAUUGGACAAUACCUGACUGAAUGGUCUGUAAACAUACUACAAUAAAUAAAUAUUUAUUGCUUACCUGACGAUCUUACCCCCGUUGUAAGUAAAACUAAUUUAUAUUUUUCUUUGUUAUUUAAUAUUAAUUGUAUAUUAAAAAUAACUUUGCAUCGUAUUUUUAGAAUCUUCGUUACUGUCUUUCAUUCAACCGUGUUCAAAUUAAGGUUCAAAUUAAGAACAUAUAAAUAAUUGUAAUUAUUUAAAUGUUCUUAAUUUGAAAUGAUUAUAUCUAGAUGUAUACAAUAAUAUAGCGGAAAAGCUGCUCAGGGCUAAGGGCCUAUUAGUGAAUCGAAUUUGAUUUGAUGUACUUAUUCCAUUCCAUGUAGUGUAAUAAUAAUAAAUAGACAUCCUAAAGUACCAUUAUACUUAUAUUUCUAUGAAAA
Molecule: long non-coding RNA, 1844 nt
Organism: Vanessa atalanta (red admiral)
Lineage: Eukaryota; Metazoa; Arthropoda; Insecta; Lepidoptera; Nymphalidae
Exons: 4
Source: RefSeq, a predicted model, not a curated record